UUGAAAGGGAAACGAUUGAAGUCAGUCGUACCUGUGGGUAAUCAGCCUUUUGGGUGUGAUUUUGUGGAGUGUGAGGAGUUAAACGCCUUCAUGCCUGCAUAUUCGUGCACUUUGGGUGUAUUUACCCGUGUGGUAAGUUAACAUCAAUUUCGGUGAUCAUAAAAUGGCUGGAGGAAUGUAGCUUCGAUCUUGUAUUGAAGUGUUAUAGCCUUCGGUAGAUGUGAUGAUCGGGAUUGAGGAUUACAACGGAUACCCUUCGGGGCUACCUGUCUGAUCUCUGAUCGUUGCUCUGGUGCCGAAAGCUUGCUUACGGUGUCAAAGUCGAUGGUCAAUAGGUUAGAAUGGGUUAAAUUCGUUAAGGAUGUUGACGUA
Molecule: ribosomal RNA, 372 nt
Filed under: uncultured Glomeromycotina
Lineage: Eukaryota; Fungi; Glomeromycota
Description: LSU rRNA
Source: RNAcentral